UGUUCUGUGGCUUAGUUGGUUAAAGCGCCGGUCUAGCGAAUACGGAGUUGUAGGUUCGAAUCCCACCAGAACGC
Molecule: non-coding RNA, 74 nt
Organism: Aedes albopictus (Asian tiger mosquito)
Lineage: Eukaryota; Metazoa; Arthropoda; Insecta; Diptera; Culicidae
Source: Rfam